UGUAUAUGCAACUGAGUUGCUAUGCAGCAACGACACAUCAUUUAGAGAACUUGUAAUGCAGAAAAUGCUGCGAGGUUCAGCUGAUGCACUAUUGGUUCAGUCUUGAAGGCGGCCCACUGAUCAUCAGCUCAUCACGAAAUGCAAUCGUUGUGGUGUCCGUCACAAGCAUCUUGACUGACAUGCAGUUGUUCGUUUUCAAAGGCACACAGAACAGAUCAGCAGAACCCCCGCUAGCCGUCCCACCACCGUGAGGAUGCAGCGCCUCCUCCCCGCCACCCUCCGCCGGCGCCGCCUCUCCACCGACGCCGCCCCGGACCACGGCCUCGCCUCCUCCGCGGAGCUCGCGCACCGCCUGCUCCGCCGCCACGGCGCCGACCCGCAGAGGCUGGCCUCCGCGCUCUCCGCGUCGGGGCUGGACCCGGCCUCCCCGCGCCUCCUCGACGCCGUGCUCCGCCGCUGCGGCGCCGCCUCCUCCCUCGCGCUCGGCUACUUCCACUGGUGCUCCCCGUCGCUGCCCACGGCGCCGCUCCCCUCCUCCCUCGCACUCCUCGCCAAGUGCUUCUCCCGCGCCUCCGCCGCGCCCUGCCCCUCCCUCCUCGCGCCGCUCCCCUCCCACCUCCUCUCCGCCUCCAUCCUCUCGCCCGUCCUCCGCCGCCUCCCGCCGCCGCGCGCCCUCCCCUUCGCGCUCUCGCUCCUCGCCUCCCGCCCCGACCACGACCACCCCUCCCUCUUCCUCUCUCUCCUCGAGUCGCUCUCCAAGACCGGCCACGUCGCCGCCGCCGAGCGGCUCGUCGAGGAGCUCCAGCCCCGGCUCCCGCUCGAGCUCCGCCACUACACCGCCUUGCUCUACGGCUGGUGCCGCCUGGGCAAGCUCGACGAGGCCAAGCACGUGCUCGCCCGCAUGAAGGCCGCCGGGGUCGCCCCGGACGUCGUCGUCUUCAACACCCUGCUCGCGGGGUUCGUCGCCGACGGCAGGUUCGAGGACGCGUUCGAGCUCACAAGGGAGAUGGAGCGGCGGGAUUGCCCUCCCAACGCGGUGUCCUACACCACCCUCAUGCAGGGGCUUGGGUCCAAGGGGAGGGUUGAUGAGGUAAUGCGGGUGUUUGUUGAAAUGCGGAGGAAGGGAUGCACGCCGGAUUCUGUCACCUACGGUACUCUGGUCACUGCAUUUUGCAAGGCAGGCAGGUUAUCUCAGGGUUACGAGUUCUUGGACUCCAUGUCGAGGGACGGGCUGCGGGUGGAUCCUGCAGUGUACCUUGGGUUCUUUGUGGCGCAUGAGAAGAAGGAGCAGCUGGAGGAGUGCUUGGAGUUGAUGGAGAGGAUGAGGGAGUGCAGGUGCCCCCCAGACCUCAAUAUCUACAAUGUGGUGAUUCGGCUGUCCUGUAAGCUCGGAGAGACGAAACAAGCCACGACAUUGUGGAACGAGAUGGAGAAUAGCGGGCUUAGUCCUGGGGUCGACACCUUCGCAAUCAUGGUGACUGGGCUUGUUGGUCAGGGCUCGCUGGUCGACGCGUGCAGUUAUUUCAAGGACAUGGUCGGGAGAGGGCUAUUUGUUGCACCACAGUACGGAGUGUUGAAGGACCUUCUCAAUGCGCUAGUCAGGGAUGAGAAACUUGAGCUUGCAAGGGAUGUUUGGGGUUGCAUUGCCAGCAGAGGCUGUGAACUAAAUGUGAGUGCAUGGACAAUCUGGAUCCAUGCACUGUAUGCGAAGAAACAUGUGAAGGAGGCCUGCUCCUAUUGCUUGGACAUGCUCGAGGCAGGGCUGAUGCCGCAGCCAGACACAUUUGCAAAGCUAAUGAAGGGACUGAAGAAACUGUACAACAGACAGAUUGCUGCUGAAAUCACUGAGAAGGUGAGGCUGAUGGCGGAGGAGAGACAUGUAAGCUUUAAAAUGUAUAAGAGGCGUGGGGUGAAGGAUCUCGAAGAGAAGCCUAAGUCAAAGAGAAGGAAAGGGCAAAAGCGGAGUCGGGGGAGGCAGACCGUUCAAGAUCAGCCUAGAGAACAUGCUGACCUUUCGGAUUCUGUCGAUGAUGAAGAAUUCCCGAGUUGAAUUAAACUAGGAUCAUAAAUGGGCAAUGAACUAGUGCACCUUCACUUGAUUACAUUGUUUGUGGGAGUGAUUGGGUUAUGAAGCAACCAAUAAGGAAACAUUGAUCUUGCUGAAAAUGGAGCAGGUUUGCAGUAUUUCUAUUGGCAACUGAUAUUGAUACUUGAGCCAAGUGGCACUCUGGUCCUAUCUGAAGUCCAUUUGCCAGUGUGUACUUCAGUUUUCAAAACCUUUCAGGGGCUAAUAAUAUUGGGUCCUUUCAGUGCCAGUGCAAAAGAAGAUAACACCAAUAUACAACACUACUAUGGCUGGAAGUGAGUCCAGCCUGUCUAAGCUUGGUUAUGCCUGAACUAGCUUGUUGCAACUGGAAGAUUUAUCCAAACAAGCUUGAGCUGAGAUUGAAGAUGCCGGGGAUAAAUGCAACAGUUGCCAUGCCAACUACACAAAAUGGAGUGCAAAAAGAUAGGGCAUUUCAGCUGAUUAAGAGUCGCCGUUGGUGGGCACGAAGCCAUUGCCGAGGACACUGAUAUCUCAAUAUAUUAUGCUGGGUGAUUGAAUUGCAAUGCCAAAUCAAGAAGCGGAAGCAGAUUUGAACCAACAUUUCAUUGCUAAGUGGGAGUUAGAGAAGAACACACGGACACAGAUUUCCUGAGUCACAAGUUCAGAAUCCCAGACUUCAAUGUUGUAGCUGGAGAGGAGCUGAACGGCGGUGAAAGGAGGGUCAGCAUCCCACCGUACGAGGGGAUCUGACCAACUUAUGGCUUCAGAGACCAUCUCUUCUG
This is an RNA transcript of Triticum aestivum (bread wheat), 2829 nucleotides long. It is a transcript of the gene named pentatricopeptide repeat-containing protein At3g49730, with no coding region annotated. The record is from RefSeq and is a predicted model, not a curated record. The transcript has 3 exons. NCBI's taxonomy places the organism in Eukaryota, Viridiplantae, Streptophyta, Magnoliopsida, Poales, Poaceae.